This 335-nucleotide ribosomal RNA is filed under the name uncultured bacterium. Its description in RNAcentral is "partial 16S ribosomal RNA". It matches the Rfam family "Bacterial small subunit ribosomal RNA", at positions 338 to 670 of the family's 1533-position model. The record is from RNAcentral.
CCUACGGGUGGCUGCAGUGAGGAAUAUUGGUCAAUGGGAGGAAUCCUGAACCAGCCAUGCCGCGUGCAGGACGACGGCUCUACGAAUUGUAAACUGCUUUUGUACCGGGGUAAAAUGCUCUACGCGUAGCGGUUUGAAAGUACGGUACGAAUAAGGAUCGGCUAACUCCGUGCCAGCAGCCGCGGUAAUACGGAGGAUCCGAGCGUUAUCCGGAUUCAUUGGGUUUAAAGGGUGCGUAGGUUGUUUUAUAAGUUAGCGGUGAAAGCCCGAGGCUCAACAUCGGGGCGGCCGCUAAUACUGGCGGACUAGAGAUCGAGUGAAGCAGGCGGAAUGUG